CCCCAACAUUCAAAUGAUGAACUGGAACUCUUUUCAUAGUUAGACGUCCUAUAUUGGUUGUAUUUGCUCUGUUAGGAAGACAAGUUAUCGUUCUCCCUCUCAGGUCAGCUUCCAAUUUCACUUUCAAAGUUGAAAAUGCUGUAUAUAUCACUACAUAUUGCCGCUGUGCUACAUGAGACAGCCAAUAGUAUCAUCACCCAUGAUUUUAUU
This 210-nucleotide unclassified non-coding RNA is filed under the name Hevea brasiliensis (rubber tree). Lineage: Eukaryota; Viridiplantae; Streptophyta; Magnoliopsida; Malpighiales; Euphorbiaceae. The record is from RNAcentral.